RNAcentral lists this transfer RNA (62 nucleotides) under Rhigonema thysanophora. RNAcentral's name for it is "tRNA-Lys". Lineage: Eukaryota; Metazoa; Nematoda; Chromadorea; Rhabditida; Rhigonematidae. The record is from RNAcentral.
GAAGUGUUAGCUUAAAUUUACAAGUAUGAAAUUUUUGAUUUCAAGAUAUUUUUUACAUUUUG